This 507-nucleotide ribosomal RNA is filed under the name uncultured bacterium. Its description in RNAcentral is "partial 16S ribosomal RNA". It matches the Rfam family "Bacterial small subunit ribosomal RNA", at positions 28 to 523 of the family's 1533-position model. The record is from RNAcentral.
GAUGAACGCUAGCUACAGGCUUAACACAUGCAAGUCGAGGGGUAACGAGAGGAAAGCUUGCUUUCCUUGUUGACGACCGGCGCACGGGUGAGUAACGCGUAUCCAACCUGCCCCCAACUAGGGAAUAACCUUGCGAAAGUAAGACUAAUACCCUAUAAUUUCCUCAGAUGUCAUCUGACGAGGAAUAAAGAUUUAUCGGUUGUGGAUGGGGAUGCGUCUGAUUAGCUUGUUGGCGGGGUAACGGCCCACCAAGGCAACGAUCAGUAGGGGUUCUGAGGAGAAGGUCCCCCACAUUGGAACUGAGACACGGUCCAAACUCCUACGGGAGGCAGCAGUGAGGAAUAUUGGUCAAUGGGCGAAAGCCUGAACCAGCCAAGUAGCGUGCAGGAUGACGGCCCUAUGGGUUGUAAACUGCUUUUAUACAGGAAUAAAGUUAGCCACGUGUGGUUAUUUGUAGGUACUGUAUGAAUAAGGACCGGCUAAUUCCGUGCCAGCCGCCGGCCGUAA